CCUACGGGAGGCAGCAGUGAGGAAUAUUGGUCAAUGGCCGGAAGGCUGAACCAGCCAUGCCGCGUGAAGGUCAGUGCCCUAUGGGCGUUAAACUUCUUUUGUGCGGGAGCAAUAAUGGUCACGUGUGGCCAGACGAGAGUACCGUACGAAUAAGCAUCGGCUAACUCCGUGCCAGCAGCCGCGGUAAUACGGGGGAUGCAAGCGUUAUCCGGAUUUAUUGGGUUUAAAGGGUGCGUAGGCUGUGAGGUAAGUCAGCGGUGAAAUGCCCGCGCUCAACGGGUGGAAGUGCCAUUGAUACUGCCUGGCUGGAAUGCGGAUGCCGUGGGAGGAAUGUGUGGUGUAGCGGUGAAAUGCAUAGAUAUCACACAGAACACCGAUUGCGAAGGCAUCUCACGAAUCCGCGAUUGACGCUGAUGCACGAAAGCGUGGGUAUCAAACAGGAUUAGAUACCCCAGUAGUC
This 460-nucleotide ribosomal RNA is filed under the name uncultured bacterium. Its description in RNAcentral is "partial 16S ribosomal RNA". It matches the Rfam family "Bacterial small subunit ribosomal RNA", at positions 338 to 795 of the family's 1533-position model. The record is from RNAcentral.